UUGAAACCUAUGCAAGCUUAUCCAACUCAAGGUCCUAUGGGCUACAUGUGGCCCAGGACAGCUUAGAAGGCAGCGCAACACAAAUUCGUAAACAUUAUGGAUUGUCUUGUGAUUUUUUUUGUUGUUGUUGGCUCAUCGGCUAUUGUUAGUGUUAGUGCAUUUCAUGUGUGGCCCAAGACACACAUUCUUCUUCUUCCAAUGUGGUCCAGGGAAGCCAAAAGAUUGGACACACCUGCUAUAAAGUCUACCUCACUCUGACCAUGAGACCCACCAUGUGUGCAUGGAAAUGAUAGGCUGCUUUUAGUAGCAUAUCACUGGAUAUCACUGGAUAUGGUUUUAUUCCAUUUAGACAUAGAAUUGAUUGCCUGAAUGUGCUGGGAAUUAAUAAAUCCCUAGUGGAAACCCACUGAUUAAGAUAGGGAUCUCUUUAAUGUAUGCAGAAUUUUUGUGGAUUUGGCGGUUGUAUGAAGAAUAAGUGAAUCUACCAGAACUUCCUAGUAGCUAAGGUAUAUAUUGCCAAAAUUGUCAAGAAUUAUCAAGCUCUAAAUUAGGAGAAUAGCAUUUUCUCUCAGCCUAUUGGUGUCAGAAUCAGUCAUUCAGCAUUUCUAACGUCCUGAUUUAUUCUUAUUUCUUCCUAUAUGCUGCAUGAGGAUACUUAUUACUACCAAAAUUUAGGGUAGAAGAUUAUGCAUUUUUUUGUAGAAUGUGCCUUGAUGUUUCAACUAAAGAAAAUAAAUUUAUUAUUAUUUUAUUCCAUACAAUCCACUUAAAUCAGAAUCAAUUUAUAUAGUCUUAUCACUCAUUGAGCUUCUAUCAAUAAUGAAGAAUAUGAGUUGCUGAACAUUUCUUCUGACAUGCUAUUUAAGAUCUGUCUACAAAUGGGUUAUAAUGCCAGAAUUGUUUAAUUUUAGAGAUUAUCUAGUAAAAUUUGUGAGCAUAUAGUGAAAAUUGGUAAAAGCUAUAUGCUUUAGAAAAAGGUUUUUAGAGGUCUUGGAUUUCUUAUAUUACGCAGAGCUUGUACAUUUGGAUCUCCCACUGCUUAGCUCGUAGUAGGUUUUCAAUACAUAUUCACUGAAUUAAAUUUAUUCCAAAUUUAGUAACUUCAUUAGUUACAGUAAAAGACCGUAAAUAACUUAUGAAGCAAAGGAAUGCAUUCAAAGAUUUCAGAUAAAAGAAGUUACAGUUUGGAAAAGUUAUCAGGUACUAAGUGAGAUUAUCUUUUGGUUAAAACAUAGGAUCUAGUAUAAUUUGGGGGGUCCACCACUCCUAAAAUAAAAUUUUCACCUCCUUGCAGAUUCCUGAAAUGUCUGCAUCUGGGAAAACAUUGUUGACAUUGGUUUAAUUUCUAGAUAUAGUAGUCACGUGACCUUGAACAAAUCUGUUCCAUUUGUAAUGAGGACAGUAAUAGUUUCUCUGCAAGUUUGUAGUGCAAUUAAAUGAGACAAUGUUUAGAAAAUGCCCAAUCCAUAGUAUUCAAAAAUGUGAUUUUUAUCAACGCAUUACAAUACUAUGGCCUUCUAUUGAAUACUUAGAACGCUAAUUUAAAAUGCAAAAACUGCUUUUUUGUAGGUACUUACUCUAUUUCAAAGUUUAAAUGAUUGCAGAUUCUGUUCCCAUUUUUCAGUUGGAGAGAGGUAAUUAACCAAGCAAGCAGUCAUUUAACGUUAAAAUAUUAAAACUGAAAGUGUAUAUGCUGGGACAAAGGAAGGCAAAAUUCAACUCUACUAACUUUUAAAUGAUUGGAACUCCCCAUCACCAACCCCCGUGAAGAAAAGGAUUUUGGCCAAAAGAACAGGUGUUAACAGCACUGCUUCUACUGCUUUAUGGAGAUUUUUUUUAACUAAACUGAAUUUUAUUAUAAAGAUCUUGAUUCCCAAAGGAUCCAGUAACUGAGACACCUGCACACUUUACAAUAAAUAAAAGACAAAGGAUGACAUAAGAACCCAUGGUGCUUAUAGUUACAAGUCUUCAGAUGGAUUUUAAAAUUGAACACACUUGGGAUGGUUUUCCAGUGAAGCACGAGCCAGUAUUUAUCAGGCUGAAUCCAGGUGACAGAGGAGUGAUGAUGGACAUUAGUGCUCCAUUUUUCAACGAUCCUCCAGCCCCACUUGGAGAACCAGGAAAACCUUUCAAUGAACUGUGGGAUUGUGAAGUUGUGGAAGCAUUUUUCUUGAAUGAUGUAACUGAGCAGUAUUUAGAAGUUGAACUUUGUCCCCACGGACAGCAUUUAGUGCUUUUACUUUCUGGAAGAAGAAAUGUGUGGAAACAAGAACUUCCUUUAUCAUUCAGAGUGUCCAGAGGAGAGACAAAAUGGGAAGGCAAAGCUUAUCUCCCUUGGAGUUAUUUUCCACCAAAUGUGACAAAAUUCAAUUCAUUUGCAAUUCAUGGAUCAGAAGAUCAACGAAGUUAUGAAGCUCUUUACCCUGUACCUCAGCAUGAACUGCAACAAGGACAAAAACCUGAUUUAGCUAAAGGGCCAGAGGCAUCAGUGUUUCCUGGUGUGAACAAACGGUCCCCUGUUACAAGGAAAUCUAAUCUUCAGUUAUCUCUGUAGUUCUCCUCUUCUGGUAACCUCAUAAGGAUAAAAAUAUCAACUAUGUUUCUAGGCAACAUUGCUUGUGAUAAAAAUGACCCUUAAGUGGUACAUUACAUCUGGACUGAGAAUAAUUUUGGAUGAACUAUAAAUAUAUGAUGGAGACAGCAUGACUUUGGGAUUCCCCUGUAACAGUCAUCUUCCCUGUGGGAACCCUGGAAACUAUGGCUUUGGAGUUAUUCCAAGAGAUACUGCUCUCAUGGGGCAGCAGGCAUUUGAGCCAAGCCAUCGCCUAGAAUACUUCAAGCCUUUCAAUUUUAACACACUGCUUGGAAAAGAAUGGAAACAACCGGAAUCAGACCUGUGGCUAAUAGAGAAAUGUGAUAUACAGGAGUAAUAGAUAACCAUACCAAUCAUUUUUUCUCUAUACCUUUUAAGAUAAACAAAAAAUAAAUAUCAAUUUUUUUAAGAUGUCAUGCAUAUAUUUCAACAACAAAUAUUUUCAUAGAAGUCACUGAAAAUAUAGUAUCUGUGGCAAAUUGUAUAUGAUUAACAAGAAAAUAUAUGAUUCUUUGUAGAUUAUUUCAUCUGUAAAGUCACAGUGUUUCUCAGAGUCACUUAGUCCAGGAUGUUACAUUCCCAGCACACAGUACAGUUAUUCUUGAGAAGUACAAGUGAGAAAGAGGGGACAGUUGAGUUUGUCCAAGGACACCUAGAGCACUGUCCUGCACUAUCUUAUGAUUCAGCCAUUUCAUUCCUAGAUAUAUACCUCAGAAAAAUGACUGCUCAUAGCAGCUUUAUUCAUAAUAGCACAAAAUUGUAAAGUCAAAUUUCCAUCCAUAGGAAAAUGGAUAGACAAACUGCAAUAUAGUCAGUGGAAUACUCUUCAUUUAAAAAAGGACUGCUGAUAUAUGCAACAACCUGUAUGAAUCUCAAAAACAUUAAGUUGAGCAAAACAAGCCAGACAUAACAUACUAUCUAAUUUCUUUUAUAUUAAAGCCACUUCCAGGCAAAACUAGCAUUUGAUGAUAGAUACCAGAACAGUGGCUGCUUAGAGUGAGGGCGGGGAAUUCAAAUUGAAUGGAAAAGGGGCCUGAGGAAAUUUUCUAGGGUGAUUGAAAUGUUUUGUAUUUUGAUCUGGAUGAUGGUUAUGUAGCUGCAUACAUUUGUCAACAUUCCUCAUGUUUAGAUUUGUGAUUUUAGUAUAUGUAAAUUAAUUCCUUAAUAAAAUACUAUUAUAAAAUAAGCUGUAAAUUAAAUGGAAUUAACUUCAAGUUUA
RNA transcript from Symphalangus syndactylus (siamang), 3812 nucleotides. It is a transcript of the gene named chromosome 4 C4orf33 homolog, with no coding region annotated. The record is from RefSeq and is a predicted model, not a curated record. Lineage: Eukaryota; Metazoa; Chordata; Mammalia; Primates; Hylobatidae.